Strongylocentrotus purpuratus (purple sea urchin) is the source of this 210-nucleotide long non-coding RNA. RefSeq lists it as uncharacterized. The record is from RefSeq and is a predicted model, not a curated record. The transcript has 2 exons. Lineage: Eukaryota; Metazoa; Echinodermata; Echinoidea; Camarodonta; Strongylocentrotidae.
UUUGAGAAAAAAUGUUCUUAUCACAAUGAUUUUUUUCUUCAAUUGCUAUACUCUAUAUUCAUAGGCGUUGAUCAAGUGAUAUAGAGAAGGUAUAUGAUGCUGUGAAGGUAUAUCCGAAUAUAUUUAUAAUAUGUACACCAAUAUGCUCCUAAAUUGAUAACACAGUAGAUAUUCUCAGUAUUAUCCGCAAAACACAAAACACCAACAAAA